GAUGAACGCUGGCGGCGUGCUUAACACAUGCAAGUCGAACGAUGAAGCCCAGCUUGCUGGGUGGAUUAGUGGCGAACGGGUGAGUAACACGUGAGUAACCUGCCCUUGACUUUGGGAUAACUUCAGGAAACUGGGGCUAAUACCGGAUAGGAGCUCCUGCUGCAUGGUGGGGGUUGGAAAGUUUCGGCGGUUGGGGAUGGACUCGCGGCUUAUCAGCUUGUUGGUGGGGUAGUGGCUUACCAAGGCUUUGACGGGUAGCCGGCCUGAGAGGGUGACCGGCCACAUUGGGACUGAGAUACGGCCCAGACUCCUACGGGAGGCAGCAGUGGGGAAUAUUGCACAAUGGGCGGAAGCCUGAUGCAGCAACGCCGCGUGCGGGAUGACGGCCUUCGGGUUGUAAACCGCUUUCGCCUGUGACGAAGCGUGAGUGACGGUAAUGGGUAAAGAAGCACCGGCUAACUACGUG
Molecule: ribosomal RNA, 466 nt
Filed under: uncultured bacterium
Lineage: Bacteria
Description: partial 16S ribosomal RNA
Rfam family: Bacterial small subunit ribosomal RNA
Source: RNAcentral